This 272-nucleotide ribosomal RNA is filed under the name uncultured archaeon. RNAcentral's name for it is "partial 16S ribosomal RNA". It matches the Rfam family "Archaeal small subunit ribosomal RNA", at positions 477 to 747 of the family's 1478-position model. The record is from RNAcentral.
CAGCGCCACAAGUGGCAAUCAGCAUUACUGGGCCUAAAGCGUCCGUAGCCGGUUUGGAAAAUCCUUUGUGAAAUCGUCGAGCUUAACUCGGCGGCGUGCAGGGGACACUACCAGACUUGGGACCGGUGAGGAGUCAGAGGAAUUAGAGGGGGAGCGGUAAAAUGCAAUAAUCCUUCUAAGACCACCUGUGGCGAAGGCGUCUGACCAGAACGGAUCCGACGGUGAGGGACGAAAGCUAGGGGAGCGAACCGGAUUAGAUACCCGCGUAGUCC